GACGAACGCUGGCGGCGUGCCUAACACAUGCAAGUCGAACGGAAAGGCCCUGCUCUUGUGGGGUGCUCGAGUGGCGAACGCGUGAGUAACACGCGAGUAACCUGCCCUUGUCUUUGGGAUAACAUCAGGAAACUGGGGCUAAUACCGGAUAGGAGCUCCUGCUGCAUGGUGGGGGUUGGAAAGUUUCGGCGGUUGUGGAUGGACUCGCGGCUUACCAGCUUGUUGGUGGGGUAGUGGCGUACGAAGGCUGUGACGGGUAGCCCGCCUGAGAGGGUGACCGGCGACAUGGGGACUGAGGGACGGCGCAGACUGGAACGUGAGGCAAUAGUGGGGAGUAUUGCACAGUGAGCGGGAGCCUGAUGCAGCAACCCCGCGUGCGUGAUGACCUGCUUCGAGGUGUAAACCGCUUUCGACUGUGACGAAGCGUGAUUGACGGUAAUGGGUAAAGAAGCACCGGCUAACUACGUG
This 468-nucleotide ribosomal RNA is filed under the name uncultured bacterium. RNAcentral's name for it is "partial 16S ribosomal RNA". It matches the Rfam family "Bacterial small subunit ribosomal RNA", at positions 28 to 507 of the family's 1533-position model. The record is from RNAcentral.